Molecule: ribosomal RNA, 492 nt
Filed under: uncultured bacterium
Lineage: Bacteria
Description: partial 16S ribosomal RNA
Rfam family: Bacterial small subunit ribosomal RNA
Source: RNAcentral
AGUGAACGCUGGCGGUAGGCCUAACACAUGCAAGUCGAACGGCAGCACAGUAAGAGCUUGCUCUUACGGGUGGCGAGUGGCGGACGGGUGAGGAAUACAUCGGAAUCUACUUUUUCGUGGGGGAUAACGUAGGGAAACUUACGCUAAUACCGCAUACGACCUACGGGUGAAAGCAGGGGAUCUUCGGACCUUGCGCGAUUGAAUGAGCCGAUGUCGGAUUAGCUAGUUGGCGGGGUAAAGGCCCACCAAGGCGACGAUCCGUAGCUGGUCUGAGAGGAUGAUCAGCCACACUGGAACUGAGACACGGUCCAGACUCCUACGGGAGGCAGCAGUGGGGAAUAUUGGACAAUGGGCGCAAGCCUGAUCCAGCCAUACUGCGUGGGUGAAGAAGGCCUUCGGGUUGUAAAGCCCUUUUGUUGGUAAAGAAAAGCAGCAGGUUAAUACCCCGCUGUUCUGACGGUACCCAAAGAAUAAGCACCGGCUAACUUCGUG